AGAGGCGCACUGUGCAAACAUCUGGUCCAUCAGCUGGAUCCUAUGCAUCAGCGGGCACAGGGACACACUGGGACAGCAUGAGGAGGACAGUCCUGAGGAAGAAAACGGCGCUGGUUGCUCCUCUUCAGCGACGCCAGGAGCAAAAAAGAGGAGAAGGAGGUGGAGGAGGCAGGAAACUAAGAGAAGAGGAGUAAAAAUGCAAGUAAAUCUAGAAAGAAAGAGUUACUGAUGAAAACAUGGAGCCGAGAUAGAACAGGAA
Long non-coding RNA from Poecilia latipinna (sailfin molly), 259 nucleotides. RefSeq lists it as uncharacterized. The transcript has 2 exons. Lineage: Eukaryota; Metazoa; Chordata; Actinopteri; Cyprinodontiformes; Poeciliidae. The record is from RefSeq and is a predicted model, not a curated record.